CCACCUACGGGAGGCUGCAGUAAGGAAUAUUGCGCAAUGGGCGAAAGCCUGACGCAGCGACGCCGCGUGGGGGAUGAAGGUCUUCGGAUUGUAAACCCCUUUCGGGAGGGAAGAUGGAAUAGGGUAACCUAUUCGGACGGUACCUCCAGAAGCAGCCACGGCUAACUUCGUGCCAGCAGCCGCGGUAAUACGAAGGUGGCAAGCGUUGUUCGGAUUCACUGGGCGUACAGGGAGCGUAGGCGGUUGGGUAAGCCCUCCGUGAAAUCUCCGGGCCUAACCCGGAAAGUGCAGAGGGGACUGCUCAGCUUGAGGACGGGAGAGGAGCGCGGAAUUCCCGGUGUAGCGGUGAAAUGCGUAGAGAUCGGGAGGAAGGCCGGUGGCGAAGGCGGCGCUCUGGAACGUUUCUGACGCUGAGGCUCGAAAGCGUGGGGAGCAAACAGGAUUAGAUACCCGGGUAGUCCUU
This 463-nucleotide ribosomal RNA is filed under the name uncultured Nitrospira sp. RNAcentral describes it as "bacterial SSU rRNA". It matches the Rfam family "Bacterial small subunit ribosomal RNA", at positions 335 to 798 of the family's 1533-position model. Lineage: Bacteria; Pseudomonadati; Nitrospirota; Nitrospiria; Nitrospirales; Nitrospiraceae. The record is from RNAcentral.